GCUCGGCCCAAAUGAGAGCUGCU
This 23-nucleotide small nuclear RNA is filed under the name Arabidopsis thaliana (thale cress). RNAcentral describes it as "snRNA_09771". The record is from RNAcentral. Lineage: Eukaryota; Viridiplantae; Streptophyta; Magnoliopsida; Brassicales; Brassicaceae.